RNAcentral lists this ribosomal RNA (351 nucleotides) under uncultured bacterium. Its description in RNAcentral is "bacterial SSU rRNA". It matches the Rfam family "Bacterial small subunit ribosomal RNA", at positions 29 to 380 of the family's 1533-position model. The record is from RNAcentral.
AUUGAACGCUGGCGGAAUGCUUUACACAUGCAAGUCGAGCGGCAGCGCGGGGGCAACCCUGGCGGCGAGCGGCGAACGGGUGAGUAAUACAUCGGAACGUGUCCUUAAGUGGGGGAUAGCUCGGCGAAAGCCGGAUUAAUACCGCAUAAGCUCUGAGGAGGAAAGCGGGGGCUCCGUAAGGACCUCGCGCUGUUGGAGCGGCCGAUGUCGGAUUAGCUAGUUGGUGGGGUAAAGGCCCACCAAGGCGACGAUCCGUAGCUGGUCUGAGAGGAUGAUCAGCCACACUGAAACUGAGACACGGUCCAGACUCCUACGGGAGCAGCAGUGGGGAAUUUUGGACAAUGGGGGCAA